RNAcentral lists this non-coding RNA (107 nucleotides) under Ruminococcus sp. RNAcentral's name for it is "TPP sequence". It matches the Rfam family "TPP riboswitch aptamer (THI element)". From Rfam's summary of the family: Vitamin B(1) in its active form thiamin pyrophosphate (TPP) is an essential coenzyme that is synthesised by coupling of pyrimidine and thiazole moieties in bacteria. The previously detected thiamin-regulatory element, thi box was extended, resulting in a new, highly conserved RNA secondary structure, the THI element, which is widely distributed in eubacteria and also occurs in some archaea. The record is from RNAcentral. Lineage: Bacteria; Bacillati; Bacillota; Clostridia; Eubacteriales; Oscillospiraceae. RNAcentral also lists the same sequence under 1 other name.
AAUAAAAACCAGGGGAGUUUCGAUUGAGAAGCUGAGAGUAAGGUAGCCCUUAGACCCUUUUAACCUGUUGGAUCAUGCCAGUGUAGGAAGUGUUGAAGAUGUAUUUU